AUGUCAAAUCAUCAUGCCCUUUAUGACCUGGGCUACACACGUGCUACAAUGGCCGCAACAAAGAGAGACGAAGCCGCAAGGCGGAGUGGAUCUCAAAAAGCGGCCCCAGUUCAGAUUGCGGGCUGCAACCCGCCCGCAUGAAGUAGGAGUUGCUAGUAAUCGCGAAUCAGCAUGUCGCGGUGAAUACGUUCCCGGGGUUU
RNAcentral lists this ribosomal RNA (200 nucleotides) under uncultured prokaryote. Its description in RNAcentral is "partial 16S ribosomal RNA". It matches the Rfam family "Bacterial small subunit ribosomal RNA", at positions 1182 to 1382 of the family's 1533-position model. The record is from RNAcentral.